GGCGGUUCUCUGGUGACACACCCAGGAAUUGGGCUUCCUCCUCUUUGGUUCGGGUGUAUCACCCGAGAAUAGCA
This is a non-coding RNA of Myotis lucifugus (little brown bat), 74 nucleotides long. Lineage: Eukaryota; Metazoa; Chordata; Mammalia; Chiroptera; Vespertilionidae. The record is from Rfam.